Molecule: transfer RNA, 81 nt
Filed under: Raphidocelis subcapitata
Lineage: Eukaryota; Viridiplantae; Chlorophyta; Chlorophyceae; Sphaeropleales; Selenastraceae
Rfam family: tRNA
About the family: Transfer RNA (tRNA) molecules are approximately 80 nucleotides in length. Their secondary structure includes four short double-helical elements and three loops (D, anti-codon, and T loops).
Source: Rfam by way of RNAcentral
GACAGCGUGGCCGAGCUGGUCUAAGGCGCACGGUUCAGGUCCGUGUCCGCAAGGGCGCAGGUUCGAAUCCUGCCGCUGUCA